Scylla paramamosain (green mud crab) is the source of this 578-nucleotide long non-coding RNA. RefSeq lists it as uncharacterized. NCBI's taxonomy places the organism in Eukaryota, Metazoa, Arthropoda, Malacostraca, Decapoda, Portunidae. The transcript is spliced from 3 exons. The record is from RefSeq and is a predicted model, not a curated record.
UAGUAGUAGUAGUAUUGUAUCACGGUAUUUAAUAAUAGAGCCUCAACUUAUACUAGUCUUGCCUGAAAAUCUCUCGUUUUCUAUCAUUCUCCCAUCCUGCAGGCCUGAGCCCAGACCGACACCCAGAGAAAUGUAAACAAACGCAGAGUCAGACUAUAUAUACGGGUGAAUUUGUUGCUUUUUAGAGCGGCAGUGGAUCUGUACAUGCGUGAGGUGGCGAGGGGCGUGGCCAGGGGGCGGCUAGCAGCGUGUGCCACCAGGGAAAUGUGUAUGAACAUAAUUAAUAGGCGCCUGUCAAGAAAGGCACAGAUGCAGGGUGGUGAGGCAGUGUUCAUCCCAGGGGCACACCACACAGGGUCAGCAACACAGAUUGGUGGUGGAGAGGCACCUGUGGGACGCCCAGGGGAACACCAAACACGACCUUGACAGACAGAAGAGUUUAUUGAUGAAGUGUGGAAGAAGAGGAGGAAGGAACAAUGAUAUUCGACCAGCUGCGGCAUCUGGGGGCUUCACUUGACUGGGACAGCUGGGACAUGGAUGCUGCGAGAGACUGGCCUGUGUGUCUGUCUGUACAUCCG